UCAUUGAUAAAUCCCAUAAAAUUUGAACGAUACAAAGAGGAUUAGCAUGCUCGUCUGCAAGGAUGGCGCGCACAACUGAGAAAAAGAAAUGUUUUAU
RNAcentral lists this small nuclear RNA (97 nucleotides) under Corchorus capsularis. Lineage: Eukaryota; Viridiplantae; Streptophyta; Magnoliopsida; Malvales; Malvaceae. The record is from RNAcentral.